This 40792-nucleotide long non-coding RNA is filed under the name Phaseolus vulgaris (common bean). Its description in RNAcentral is "long non-coding RNA (PVUL_LNC004308)". The stretch from base 40694 to 40778 matches the Rfam family "tRNA". The record is from RNAcentral. Lineage: Eukaryota; Viridiplantae; Streptophyta; Magnoliopsida; Fabales; Fabaceae.
UAUAAAGAACUACCUGGUAGUGGGAAGGAUGACAUGUGACUAAUAAUUGUUUUUUUCUUUUUUACUUUAUAAAAGGUUAGAAGGGUGAUUGUAUGUUGGAACAGAAAGCAUAAUUAUAUCAUCUUUAGUCAGACUCUGAUCGUCAUAUUGCAAAUUUUACGUCUCCUAUGUUUGUUUCUGACAGAAAUAUAGGUUGAACUGAUUAAGCAGACGUAGGGAAAUCCAAAAGAAUUGCAUCUUUGGUUGACCAUAUUUUUUUAUAUAUAGUUAGUGAGUGGCUAAGUGCUGUCAUGGUCCCCCACGUUUCCAUCUUGUGGCACCUUUAGGCAUUGCUCUAGGUAUCGAAUAUCAUGAGCAAGAGAGGAAUGAAAAAAAGUUGGGAAAAUAUAAUGAAUCACAAAUAUGUGGUUUCAUUAGGUGGCUCACAUCACAGGUGACAUUAUUGAUCUAAAAUAAUGAGUGUGGCCCUCCAUCAGAUCUUCCUAAUGUGUUUAGGGGCUUCUUUUGGAUAAUAGUUGAGUAUGAACGAUGCUCCACAAUUAUUGCUGCAACAACAACAACACUGUGUUUCGUUUCUUUCCCCUUUCAUAAAUCAUAACCCAACUAGCUCUUCUAUUCAGUGUUAAUAUUAACUAGAUUAAAUAGGAUUAUGAAACCCAAAUGCAUAUAUACCAGAAAGAAUUAUUCAAUCAGUUAUAAUAAUUUAUAGCUAAUUCAUCUGAUGCCCAUUGCAUGUGUUGUUUCCUUUCAAAAAUCUUCACUGAUCCAACCUUAUAAAAUAAUCUUAGGAUUUUCAGGUGAUGAUGUGCUGAGAAGCUGCUGCAAUGGAGUUAACACAUGUUUUGAAAAUUCAGAAAGCUGAGAAAAAUAUUAUUGUUUAUUUUAUUUUUUUUAAAUAAAGUAAACUAAACUGUUUAAAGCUAGAAGUGGGUUUGCUCUGGAAGCAGGUUAUAUCUUUUAUGACUGAAGCAUGACAUAUUGGUGAGAAUAUUUAGUUUGAGUGCAUGCAUUUAUUUUCAACUUGUUUAUUAUGCAAAAAAGGCUUUCAAUUUAGUCUUGAGAAUGUGUAAUCAUAGUUCAUGAAUUGACAACAUUUAUUUAUAUUACUUGAUUUUCUAAGAUAACGGUGGGAAACAUGCAGUUACCUGAGUCCGUUAGUACUAAAAUUGGAUGGGACAUGCCACUUUAGAUAACUUGUUAGUUAUAUGUUUUUAUAAUAACGAUUAAGCAAAUCAAAAUUAAAAUAAAUUGAAGAUGUGUAAUUAUAUAAUUUACUGUCAGUAUUUGCUUAUGUUUUUUGAAAAACAUAUUAUCGUUAAAUUAUUUUUUAGAAUUAAAACAGUACAACUUAUAAUCAUAGAUGAUGAAUGUUCUUACACAAAACUUACACAAAAUUAAAUUCUAAACCCUAAACCUAAACUUAAACAGAGUUGAAUACUUUGUCGGAAUUCUCCAUCAAAAUUUAAAUUAAUUUUGGUUCAUUAAUUAUUUAACUAAUGAAUUAAAUGCAUUGCUACUAAUCUCUAUUGAACUUCAUCUUCACUUCAGAAUAGGUCCAUUGAUUAAUUUUUUUUAUACUCAAAAUUUAUUUUGUGAUUUUUUCUUUAAUUACUAAUUUAUAUUUGAUUAUUAUACUAAGAAAAGGCGUAAAAUUAUUUAUUGCUUUAAGAGGAUUUUCUAGAAGCUUUCGACCUCUCAGCAUACCAGUUCAACUAAAAUUAUAAUUAAUUAACUAUAGUCACAUAAUCAUUUAGAAAAAAUAUCACUCUAAAAAAGUCAUCAAAUAAAAAAUAAUUUUAGAAAUCAAAAUAAUUAAUUACUAUUUUGACUAAAUUAGAAACUAUUUUAUAAAUUAAAAAAAAACUGUUAUUAUAUAAAAUAGUUUUUAUUAUUAAUAAAAAUUUAUAAAAUAAUUUUUAAAUUAGUAUCUAAUCAUUAACUACAAAGGUUUUAAUUGAUUACUACUUUAAAUAUUUUUUAAUCUCUAAAAUUAGUUGUUAUUUAGUAAUUUUCUUGUAAUGUAUACAUCUCACUAUUUUUUUUAACUUCAUUCAUUAAGGUUUAUAUUUAUAAUUUUAAUUUUUCACAAUGAUGAAAGUGUUCUAUGAAAGUGAUUUUAUAUUAGUGUCUUAAAAAUUCAGAUUGGAAUAACGUAACCCUGAAAAUUAGUUUAUAAUAAGAAUUAUUUCUCUCUUAUACACAAUAUUUUAGUUAUAUUAUAAGUAAAUGUGAGAUCCUACCAUAAAAAAUUUGUUAGUAAGUGUUAAACAUUACAAAUACAAGGUUCUAAAACUAUAUUUUUUUUAGUAGUUUGAUAAUAAAUCAAUAUCUCAAAAGCCAGUCAUCCUAUAAUAAAACCAGUCAACCUCAAAUGUUAGUUUACGAGUUAAAUAUAUUUCAUAUUAUUAUAUUUUUUAUUUGUAGUCAAUAAUGUUAAAAAAAUAUUAAGUGAGAACUUGAUCCUUAUUAUUGAGAACUUUUUUAUUAUUAUUAUUACUAUUAUUUUGAGAACUGAUAAUUAUAAAUCUACAUUACAUGAUAUGCCGAUAAAAAAAUACACACAUAUAUAACUUAAUUUUAGUUUUAAUCAUAUUAAUUGUUUAUAUUCAUGUUAUUAUUUCUCACAAUAAUAAAAAUCUAAUUUAAAUGCUUGCUUUCAUUUCAUGGCAUAUAUAUAUCCUGAAAUUGGUUUUCUAUAUGCAGAAACUUGGUGAUAGUGAUAGUGAUAGCCGAUCUACUCCCACAAAGAAGAAAACCAGACCUAAGCAAAAGCAUUAAUAUUCUUUAAACCAAAGCCUUAACCUAGCUAUAUAUCCAUAUAUAUAUAUAUAUAUAAAUUUUCUAUAUGUGCCUUUACUUGUCGUAUUCAUCACCCAUGCAUGCCAAAUAUAAUUGGUGAUUCAUUAUGGUUCCUGAUUCAUGAGUACUGUCUAUAUAUUAUUCGUUUAAGGCUUGUAUUUGCCUUAUCCUACUGCACAAACUUCUCUCUCAAGCCUUAUAUUUGGAAUUGAUUCAUUGAAUAUAUAUAUAUAUUUGAUGAACUGAGGCAUGAACGUAAGUGGGGACUAUAUUUGAUGAGACAGUGGCCGAAAGCAAAAGUGUAUCAGUUCUGAUCUGUUCUCAUCUUCUCCUCUUAUAAUCAUCUUCAUUCAUCUCAUUACUUGCCUUUGUUUUUCAUUACAUUCUUUUCUUUUUCUCACCAUAUAUAAAUAUUCAACUUCCACUUAAUUUCUUCUUCAUUUUUUGGCUUUAAAUCUCAGUAUUCUUUGAUUUUAAUAUUCAAUUUCUGCAUAUGUUCAUGCCUUUCCUUGUUUCCAAUUUGAAUCUUUGAAGCUGAAAGGGAACCAGAUAUAGAUAAAAUUGACCAGGUCCCUUUUUUCACUUACUGCUCUAUUAGCUUUCAUGCAACAGGCCUACACAAGGUUCACCACAUGUGCGUAUAAUUUUGAAUAUAUGUGCUUCAACAAGAUCCAAAAUUAUUAAUUUUUAUAAGUUAUAACAAUAAUAAUAAUAGUUUUUAUAAGUUAUAACAAUAAUAAUAAUGGUUUCUGAAUGAUGGUACACUAUAACAAGAAAAUUAUUAAAUAGAAACCAAUUUUAGAGACAAAAAAUAAUUAGUUACUAUAGUGAUUAAAUUAGUGACUGUUUAAAAGAUUAAAAAAAAUAAUUUUUUUAUUAAUUUUUAUUAUUGUUAAAUAGUUUUUAAAUUGGUAUCUAAUUAGCUACCAAGAUUUUUCUAUCAAAUUUAGAAUCUAAAUAAUUGAUAAUUAAAAUUUUAUUAGUUAAGUAGAUACAUUUGAAAACUAUUUAACAAUAAUAAAAAUUAAUUUAGAAAGAAAAAAUAUUUUAAUCUUUAAAAUAAUAUCUAAUUUAAUUAUUAUAAAAAUUACUUUUUUUUUAUUUGUAAAAAAUAUUUUUAUUCAGAAAUAGGUAAUAACUUUAUAUAGGCAACUGAAUACCAUAAUUUUACACACAACAAAAACAUGUCUAUUAAAUUUGUAUUUAUUUUCUAAAAUUAAAGAACAUACAACGGAAGUGAAACAAAGUUUAUUAUUUCUAUAAACAUUUUUAUUCAUUUAAAAAUAUUAUAUUUGUUUACAAUUUUAUAAAUAAAAUAAUUUUAUCUUAAUGUCAUUUAUUUCAUUAAUAUUCUUGGUUUAAAAUAUUUGUCUCUUCGUCUUGAUAAACAAGUGUCACUUGGUGUUUAUAAAGGUAUUUACAAAUUAGUAGGGUUUUAUUUUUCAAUCCUAAUUAUUACGCAGUAUGAUUGGUAGCCUAUACGAAGAAAGAUUAGGUUAAUUAAUGUCACGGGUGUGACAGAGGAGUAGCAACAAAAUGAGUACGAUCUACAACAUUAACUGCUCAUAAUUUCUGUACUGUGAGACCAAAUCUAUUCUCCUAUUGCUUUUGUCUAUAGACAAGAAGAGGAUAAUUAAUUUUAUAAUGAUAACAUUUAUUUUAUCAUCUUUUACAUAAGUUUUAUUUCUAUUUUUUAUUUUCAUAUUAAAUCAAUCAAAAUAUACCAUUUUCUAUAAUAUUUCCUUAUUAUUUUAUAGUUGACUCGCUCUUGAUCAAUUGUGCUAACUUAUAAAAAAAUUAUGUAUAUGAAUAAUAUUUAAAAGUGAUUAACUUAGUAAGAUGUCAAGGAGUGAAAGUUGAUGACGUGCCUAAUCCCACUAAAUUUUAUUUUAAAUUUAAAAUAAAACAUAUGUAUAAAUAAUAGAGAUAUUAUAUUUGUAAGAAAAAUUAUUAUAUAAUAUAAAUUAAAUAUAUAAGACCUUGGAACUGAUAAUGAAUUAUGAAAAUAAAUUUAGUGUAUUAUUAUUAAUUCAAUAUGAUUUAUUAAAAAUUAAUUUAUUGUGGCUAUACACUACAAAAAAAAAUUAUAAAAUAGAAACCAAUUUAUAGAGACCAAAAUAAUUGGUUACAAUAAAAAUUAAAAUAGAGACCAUUUUAAAAAUUAAAAAAAAAAUUGGUUUCUAAAUUAGUUUCUAUUAUUUUCUAUUAUUGUUAAAUAGUUUCUAAAUUGGUAUCUAAUUAUUUAACUAUCAAUUAUUUAGUUUCUAAAUUUGGCUGUAAAAACCUUGAUUGCUAAUUAGAUACCAAUUUAGAAAUUAUUUAACAAUAAUAGAAACUAAUUUAGAAACCAAAUUUAUUUUUAGUUUUUAAAAUGUUAUCUAAUUUAGUUACUAUUGCAACUAAUUAUUUUGGUUUUUACAAAUUGGUUUCUAUUUCAUAAUUUUUUUUAGUGGAUAUUGACUAAAUUUAGGUUAAAAAAACAAACAAUAUAUUAUUAAGAGUUAUUUAAAAAAUAAUAAUGACAAAAAAUUGUUAGUAAAAGGGAAGUGUUAGAUGAUAUAAUGACAAAAAAUUGUUAUUAUAGAGAAACGUCACAAAUAUUUAUUCUGAUGUUGAAGACAUUCUUUCAAUUAUAUUUAACAAAAAAAUUAUUCAUUGAUCUUUAACUUAUGCCCUAGAUACUGAUCAAUAAGGAGAUAAAAAGUAUUUAUAACUUAUAAUGAUUAUACCCCCAUUGAAUAAGAUUGUUUUAGGUAAAGAAUAUUUAUAACCUUCUAAAAGGAGAUAAAAUUACAUGGGCCAUGAAACUGAGGACAUAUUCUUUGAAUGCUUAGUUGUUUAGCGAUUCACAUAAUAAACUGCAGUCAAAGUAUCUGGCAGUACCAUUAAUUAUAGGGAUAAAAAGAGGGGCAGAUUAAACAUUCUUUGUGUAGUUUAAUGUGUUGUGAACAAUAAUGCGCACUUUUCUUUUCAAUCAUGAAAACUUUGUCUGCAAACAUGAUAGUGUCUCAACUAAUAAGCAGUAUGAAACAAGGGAAUAGCAUUACACAAUUUCAAAGGUGCAUAGCAGAGCCAAAAUAAAGUGUUCAAAGUCUUCAACUGUUUAGGUAAUCUAUGAUCUCUUGCUUUUUGUUAUCUUUUGAAUCAAUCUUAAUAAAUCCAACCCGUGCACGUAAUUUAUACAUGGCUUGAUGUUUAAAGAUGUUGUCCUUUGUGAAGGCAGGGUUGGUCAGAGAAUGAAUAAAAGGGAGAUAGAUAUAGAUAUGUUGAAUUUAGUUUAAGAAAGUGAAACGUUAAACAGAAGUAGUAGGUUGGUUGGUGUAUAUGGUGUUUGGUUUAUGAUAAAGAUUAAGAGAGGGAAGAUUGCAGCAUGGUGGUAGUGGUCAAAGGUUGUGCAUGAGGGCUAUGAUUAUAGCUGACAAUGUGCCUGAGACUACUUAGGGCAUUGUGUGGCCACGUUUUCAGGCAGAGCCGCGCGUGAGCAAUGAUUGAAGCUUCCCUUGGUUUGCUAAACACAAUCAUGAAGGGACUGGCAACCAACUGAGCCAUGGGACCCUUUUCCACACCCUUCAACUCAACCAAUGCCUGUGUCAUUGACACAUCCAUAGGAUCUUCUCUAUUCCCACUAUACAAUAUUACAUCACUGCUCUUUCAACUUUCAACUUUGAAGGUUAAUUUGUUUGUUUUUGCUUACUUCUUUCAAUUCAAUACACUCACUCACUGACCCUCCCUCUGUGCCAAUGUACCUACACCUCGUUUCUGUCACAACACUUGAAAGGUUGCUACUUGCUUCGUAUUGCUAGCUGUGCAUUUCUAGGCUGUGGACCAGAUUCUUAUUGAUUGAACUUUAACUCUCUUGCCCUUAUGCCUUUCUUUCUCUCAUCUCUCUUCCACCCUUAUCACUCUCCUCCAGAUAUACACAUAAACCUGUCGGUGUGACACUCAACUCUACUUCACUAAUGUUAUACUAUAUUCUAAGAUUAAAUUUUUCUUGUCCUUUACCAUGCACAAAAACAUAAACAAAUCUUAUUUAUAAUAAGGAAAACACUUCUUAUCUUCUUUCUCAAAAAAAAACAACACUUCUGGUCCUCUUAUCUUAAAGUGGAGUUAGUACUUGGAGCUUAUCUUAACAGAUGCUAUGUCUAUCAGAUUACUUACCUUUCCAAACUUUAUUAUAUUCAAAAUUUCUGGUUUCUUGGAUCCUAGUCAAAAUUCAAAGAGACUGCUAAAAUUUACACAUGCAAAUGGGUUUUAAAUUUGUAACAGUGCUAAGGAAGGAAUCUGAACAAGAUCGGUGGCACAUCUUCUUCCUUUUUGGUAUGACAUGGACAAUGGAGGUUGUUCUUCUGGUUACUACGGCAACAAGUAGACCAUGCUUAAUAAAUCCGUACAGUAUCGUUAUGGCACGCGCGUUUGUCCUUUCCCAGCAAAAGGAAUAUAAAUGUCACAGCAAGUAUAUGUAUAUAUAUGUGUAUAUAUUAUUUCUUGAGAUUCUCUUUUUUUUUUCUUCUCUCUGGUUGUAACCAGCCACACGUGGUUUCGCCCUAUCUCUUAUCAUUAUUUUGAUGAUAUUUUCUUUGGUUUGACACUCCCUCGUAUUGAUUGCUGGCCCCCUCUGCCCACGACUCUGCGUGUUCAUCAGGGAGCGAAUUGCACUGCAAUUUGCAAGCACCAACUCUCAAAUCCAACGGACACAAACGCUGGAGAUCCCACUCAAUCUCACACCUAUACUUCCAAUUCCUAUGUGAGACUAUAUAUAACAGGUGGUCUGAUAACAGUCCGAUCCGAUAGCGGGUGGACCGAUAAGGCCAACAUCGGACCGGACCGAUAAGACCAACAAACAAUGCUAGGAUAAACUCGAAAUGAUUCUGAUAUCAUAUUAAGAAGUAAAUUUUAAGCCUAAUUUAAUCUCAUAAAACCGAUUUAUAGGGUUAAGAUUUCCACCCCAUAGAAUGAAAGAGUCCAACAAUUAAAACAUGAUCAUCUGGUGAAUUAUGCCACUGCAUGAAUUUGAAAUUCUGCAUCUAAUAGUGGUGUUUUGAUUUCUUUGUUUUAUAACCAAAAUCAACCACCCCAGAGAUUAAGCGAGACACAAUCAUAAAAGUUAAUGUAGAACCGUUUCUCCCUAGACUCUAGCUAGGGUUAUCAUUAUACUUACUAUAUAGUAUGCCUAAUUAUGCAGUGUAUGUAGUCACGUCAACACAGAGUUUUGAUAUUUUUGUUUUCAGAUUCUAAAAUUUAAUUAGCAUGAAAAAUGAGAUCUUAGACGAGUUUGAAUUUGUCUUCCUUUUCUGUUAAUGAGGUUAUUCAGUUAUUGGUAUCUACUCAAUUUUCAGCUCUUGUGCAUGUGGGUGAUGAUAAAGGUACACACUACUACAUCUUAUCUUGAGUUGAUUGGGUGGGAAGAAAAAUUGGGAAAAAAAGUGACACAAUUAAAAUGCAUUAACAAAAAAAAAUUAUUUAUAUUAGCAACUAUUCAUAAAUUAAUUAUUAAAUUUUGUAAUACUUAAAGUGUUUUUAUUUAGUCAACAUAAAAUGUUUAUAAUUAAUUUAGUAAAAGCCGAAUUGAAGGGAUAUAUUGUAAUCAUGAUUUACACGAGUAUAAAAUAGUAUAUAGUUUUGGAAAGUCAGACACGUUGUCUUAAAUACAAAUCAAAUAAUUUUUCAAUUUUUCAAUAUUCUAAAAAUAUAUAAAGUUGCACGAAUUUUCUAUCUUGGCGACUAAAUUUGGGAAUAGACAUUUCUUUAAUUGGGUCAAGAAAAGUGAUCGCUCUAAAAAAUAAAAAUAAAAAUAAAAUAAAAAAAGAAGAAAGUGUGAUUUCAUCAUUGGGUGUGCUUAUUUGUUGAAACACUACCGUUGACUCACCAAGGUAAACUAUGUUCGUCGUUAAACAAGUAUUUUUUUAAUGCAGAAAUUAGUGUUUGUGAGUUUGAUUAACCUUGGAAGUUGAAAGGUUAAUAAUGGAAUGAUAAAUGUGUGUGUGAGAAAGAAUGAGUUGGAGGUGUAAAGAGAAGUUAAGUAAAGGGUUGGUGAAUUAUUUUGAUUGGUAAAUGUCUUCUCAUUCACACGUGUGGUCCAGCCACGUGGAUGUUUGAUGAUAACCCCAUGGUAGCAAUGAUUGGCCAUGCUGCCCACCCGCACGAGUGCUUGCUUUCUUUAUGCUUUAUGCCUUAUGCCCUUAUCCUUAUGGGCCUUCCUCUUCAUUUUCAUUUUCCUUUUCACUUCCUAACAUAACAUUCCACUAUACUUUUAUUUAAUACCACAUUUAUUUCACACCUUUAAUCCACUCUAUUUUCAAAGAGAAAGAAGAGAAAGUGUAAAGGGUUUUAAAUUUUAAUGUAGAAUUUGAUUUUUUUUUUAAUUUUAAGUACUUAAAUUACUCUUGUAAAUUCUUAUAAUUUUACUUUAUUUUAAAUUUUUUAAUCAAAUAAUAUUUUAUAUAUUUUGUCAUUAAUAUUUUAAAUUCUGUAUAAAAAUAAAUUAUCACUUUAAAAUUUACGAUUUAAUUAAACUACAAGACAAUACUAUUGAAAAUUUUGAAGGGAAAAAGCUUUAGAAUGAUAAUUACCAAUAAAUCAUGAAAUAACAACAACAAAAAUAUGAUACUGCCUUUUGUAAAAGUUUUCUGAUCUUUCUCACUUAUACUUAUACUCUAACAAAAAAAAUUAGUUAAUUAUUAUGGUGUUAACUUUUUUUUUUAAAUGUGGUGAACUUGAUAAUAUAUUACCAUAUUUAAAUUAUUAAAUAACUCGUUUUAAAAAAUUCAAAUAUAUUUCUGGACUAUUUUUCAAUAAGGUUCCUAAAAUAAAAUAAAAAAAUUCUUGAUAUCAGUUAUUGGUGACCUGAACCUGCCUCAAAGUGAAAAAUAGAGACAAAUUUUAAAAUUUUGGAGACUCAAUUAGAAAAAUUACACACUAAAAGACUCGAUUAAAAAAAGGGUUUAGAAUUUAGAAGAAAAAAAUCAGAUAGUUCAAGACUUAUUAAUAAUUUAGUCUAUUAACAUAUGUUUAAAGACAGCAAAGAAUUUAUUAAUAAAAAAUUUAAUAGUUAAAAUUUUAAUGACUUAUUUAAAACUUUAUUAAUUUUAAAGUUUAAUUUAUGCAAGAUAUUACACUCUGUUAUUUUAUUAUUUGAUUUUUUGAUUUUUUUUUUUACUGCCUUCAUCACUUUCCAUAAUUUGUCUGCUACUUCAUGGUGCGUUCUCUGUACAUAAAACCAAAUAAAACAUUUUUGUCUCGAAUCUACGACAAGAUUUGGAUUCGAAAUCUUGUCUACUUUUCUUCAGCCAACUCUUUUGGGAUUAGAUCGGUUAAAUUUCUAAAUUUGAAUGCACUCUGUAUUAUAAUUUUCAAUACUCACUUCAAAAAUUAUAAGAGCUAUGGGGCUUUUAGAUUAUUCUGUUUUUAGUACUAAAAAUGUAAACAAAAUGUGCAUGAAUGGUGUCAUGUGGUGAUUUGGGCAUCGAUAUUUGAAAAUGCAAACGCAGUGGAUGUUCUUGUAAUUUAUAUGAGUUUGAUUUUCUGAAAUGAUAAGUUGAAAAUUAAGGUUGUUUGUGGAUUAUAGGUGGUUGCUGAUAUAGAACAAAGCAUAGCCAUGGUGAUAUCAUGUGUGAACACCCAUUAUCGUUAAAAUAAAAUAAGUUAUAAAUUUUCAAAAUAUAAACCUCCAAUAAAUAAAUAUAUAUAUAUAUAUAUAAAGAGAGAAAUAUAUAAUAUAUAAGUUUUUUCAAAAAAUUUAAAGUAUAAUCAACUCUAUCUUUUUUUUUAGAAGUAGAUUAUACUUAUUAUCGUCUAGUCAUAUUAUCUUUUAUUGAUCGAGUUUGUCUCAUAAACUCAAUGUUGUUAGUGACUAUAUUUAAGAUGUCUAAGAUUCUAAUUAGAGAUAUAAAUAAAAUAUAGAAGAAAUGUUUGUUGCUCACAAUUAAAAUCUAGUCACUUAUAAACUCAGUAAUAAGAUAAAAUCCAAUACAAUAUAAGUUAACAAAAAGUUAAAUUCACUCUAUCAAACUAUAAUAAACUUCUGAACACAACCAAAUCAUUAUUGCUAUAAAAUAAUAAGCAACAUACCGUAAAUUCAUAUCAUAUAUGUAACAAAACAACUCUUUAUUUCAUUAAAAACUAGUAUUUAUUCCUUAUCUUACCAAAGAUACCAACAAAUCAGACAACAUCAAUUUUAAGAUCCUCGUAACUUUCAUAAUUUCAAAGAUUUUCAUAAAUUUUAAGAUUUUGAUAGUCUUUAUAAAAACCUUAAUAGUUAAUAUUAUACUAAUUAAUAAACUAGUUUAUAAUUUUUUAUUAAUAAUAUAAAUUACCUUAUGUACCGUCGAGACGGACAACCUGUACAUCUGGUAUCAAAGGUCGUAGACCGGCUAAGGAUAAAAACUAUAACCCUGAGUAAAUGACUUAAUAGAAAUUUUAUACAAGUUUUGAAAUUCAUGAUAUUUAACAAAUGUUUUUAAACAUAUGAUAUUUUACAAAAGUUCGUAAACUCGUGAUAUUUAAUGGAAGUUGUAAAAGACUUUUUCUGAAAUUUUAAAAAAAUCAUGAUUUAACGAAAAAAAAAACUACAAUCCUAAAUAAAUUACUUAAUAAAAGUUUUAGACUUAUAUAAUAUAAAAAUAAAUCUCCGUUAAAAUAAUUUUUCUUGCAAUGUUUCAUAUUAAAAUAGAACGUAAUUAUACUAUUAAUAUUUAUUUUGUUUGAAUGCUUAUUUUGGCUUUAUUUACUUGACUUGUUAACAAAAUAGAAAGUAAAUAAUAUAAAUUAUUGAUUAAAAAAUGAAGAGUUAAAAUUAGACAGUGAUGGAGAUGUUGUGAGGAAGUAGGUAGCUUGCGAGAUGCAAUGAGAAUGAAACAGUAGUUAUCACAUUUCAUAAACCCUUUUGGGUCCAUUCCCAACUGAAUUAUUUUUGUGUGGGUCCCACCAAUACCCAUAAAAUUAUAUGUUAAAACUAUGUUACUAGCAUGUUAGUACCAUGUUACUACUAUGUUACAUGCAGAUCCAAAUUCAUUCACCACGCCGACAUAUCAUUAAGCCCGUGACUCUGCUGUUUACACCAUCCACUCACUUUCUUUCAACCACUCACUCACACUACCAACUAUACCAAAAACUCAAUUUCCCAUCUUCAUUUCUUCUCCAUCACUCUUCUUUUAUCCACCAAAUCAAAUUAUUAAUAUCAAAAUCACUUCUUUAAUUAAUUGCGUUUAUAAAAUCAUUUAUCUAAUUCAUUUAUCAAUUCACAUAUUAUAAUACGUAUUCUUAUUUCUAGUUGACGUGUGAUCUCCAACAUACACCCUCACGUCGAGAGUGACAGCUCAUGCGUGGAACAACAUAUUAUGAGUGAUCCGAUAACGAUCCGAUAGCGGGUGGCACAAUAAGUCCAACAAACACUCGUUAAGAUAUGUUUUAAAUGGUUCUAAUACCAUAUUAUGAAGUGGACUUUAAGCAUAACUCAACCUCAUAAAACCGAUUUAUGGGAUGAGGUUUGCAUUACAAUGAAAUAUUCUUAUAGUGGGAUCUCCAACAUUAUGUACUCAUUAUCAUACUUCUUCAACGAGUUUCUCCAUAUUUUAUAAAAUAAAACAAUAUUAAAUUUAAAUUUUACGUUAUUAAUUAAUUUUAUAAAAUUAAAUUACACUUAAAAUCCAUCUUUUGAUAAUUUUCAUCACAAAUUACACAAAUUUAAUUCAACCUUUGUUAUUAGAUGCAUAAGCAUUUUUUUAAAUAAUUUAAUCAAUGAGCUAUGAAUAUAUAUACAUUAAUUUAAUUUUUUUUAUUAGAGGAAGAUGCAAAUUUAAUUCUUCACUAAUUGAAAGAGGGAUUGAAUAUAAUUAUAAUAAUGUAGGGAUUGAAUAAAAAUUAAACAUAUCACAUAUGAAUAAAAAAAGUCACCAAAAACAACUAAACAUAUCAUCAUGAAUAUAUUACGGACAGCGUGCAAACCAAUGUUUUUUAUUUCAAUACUUUGAAAAGCAAUGUAAUUGAUGUAAUCAUUGACGGGGUUUCGUUACCGUUAAAAUACAAGUAUGUUUUUUAAUAAUUUUGCAUUUCAGAUGCCUCCGCUCUUCUAAAAUCAAUUUUCGGAUUUUUUUAAUAAGUUAAUUAGUCAAAUUUGUUUUAUUUAAUUAAAAAAUACAAUUUUAACGAAGGAUCUGUUUUGAUAUUUAUUUUAUCAUUUUUUUCUAUAAGAUUUUACGAAAACAAAUGUCCAAAUAAAUCUUUAUAUUAUUUCAUUCUAUUUAACUCAAUUUGGCUUAACCCAAUUUAAUUAGGGUUUAAACACGUAUUUAACAACCUAACAAAUAAAGAAAAUUAACAACUUGGAUUAGUGGAUGAUUUGGUUCACUAACAAUUCAAUCGAAUGUAAUAAUAUUAUUGUAAUUUUACUUAAAUAGAUAUUUGUGCGAUGCAGGGAAUAGAUUGAUUACCACGUUUUAAAUAAUUAAAACAAAAUAAGCAUGAUAUAUUUAAUUUUUGAAAUGAUUACUAUGUUAAAAUAGUUUUUAUACUUGUGUCAUAUAUAUAUAUAUAUAUAUAUAUAUAUAUUUUUUUAUUUAUUAUUUAUUAGUCUACGUUUCUAUAGUUAAGUUAGUGUAUGUCUAAACUAAUUUUUAAUUAAAAAUUAAAAAAUAAAAUAAUAUUUCUAUGUAUUUAUUAUUANNNNNNNNNNNNNNNNNNNNNNNNNNNNNNNNNNNNNNNNNNNNNNNNNNNNNNNNNNNNNNNNNNNNNNNNNNNNNNNNNNNNNNNNNNNNNNNNNNNNGAAAUAUUUAAAAAAAAAUAAGAAAUAUACAAAAAAAAAAAUCUCAUAAAACACUUAAAAUUUUGAAAUUACUCAUAAAAUACUUGAAUGGUUUUCACAUUUAUGGCUUGGAUAAUUAUUUUUCUUAAAAACCUCUUCAUUUUGAAUUAGUUAUUAUUUGUUUUACCUUUUCAUAAUACUUAAGUAAAUACUAUGUUUAUAUAUAUAAAAUAAUAAUAAUAAUAAUAAUAAUAAUAAUAAUUUUGUUUUAAAUAGGCUUUUGCUUUGAAAGUUGUAUUUCUAUAACCAACCACACAGUAAACCACCGACAAUUAUUCAAUUAUUUCUCUUCCAAUGGUUUAACAAUUAUGCAUUCACAUGGUAAAAUGUUUGUUUUAAAUUGUCAUCCAAAAUAAUGAAUAAAUUAUUAUUUUUUCACAAUAAAAGCCUUACAAUAAAUUCUUUAUCCAUGAUAAUUUUUAAUUAAAGGAAAAUAUAAAUUUGUUUUAUUAUGUUAAUACAUAAAUUUUUAUCAUAAAAAUCUAAUUAAUUGUUACUACAUUUAUUUUGAGGGAUACCAACAUAGAUAAUGUCCAUUGCAAAAUAACAAGCCAACAAAUGUCUAAAUUAAAUGAAAUUCGAUAUAAAAUAAUACAAAUGUAAAUAUCAUCAAUACUUGUAAAAUGAUACUUGAUAUCAUUUUCAGUUAAUUAAAAGUAUAAAGAACAUUAGUAAGACAAAAAAAAUUAACAAAUAAAAAUAUCAAUAAUACUUUAAUAUUUUAAAUUUAAUAAAUGUCAAUUAUUUUGAUUUCAUUGGUUAAGAAAGAAAGUAAAAUAAAAAUUUAUUAGUAUCGAAUAAAUAUAAUUUACUAUUUUUAUAUUGUUUUCCAACUUUCAUCUCAAAUAUAUUAAAAUAAUAUCAUUAAAAUAAAUUAUUUUAUUUAAAUUAUUGUUUAACUUUAUCAUAAUUUUGUUUUUAAACGUCAUUUUAAAUUAUUAAAAGAGAAAGAUAUAUAUAAAUUAUUCUUUAUUUCAACUAUGUGAGAUUAUAUUAGUAAUAUAUCUCGACUCUAACUAUAAUUUUUAAUGUGAGAUUAUACUGAGAAACAAUUUGAAAUGAAAAAAUCAUUUAAUUAUUUAAAGAAUAGAUCCAUUUAUUAGCAAUGCAUUUUAAUAUUUUUCAAAAAUAAUUAAAACUAACAACGAUCAGUUAAAAUAAAACCUGAAGUACAAAUCAGUUUCGAUGAUUCCAUGAUCGUUGGAGAAUUUUUGAAUAAGAGAAUGUAAUAACAUAUUUUGCUAAUAGUUAAAUUGAUUAAAACUAUAAAAUCAUGAAUAAAUUUGAAUAAACAAUAAGAAAAGCACCGAAUAUAAUUCAGUAAAGAACAUGUAUCUAAUGGUUUUCUGUCUCUUUUUAUUUUAAAAAUAGUUUAUGGAGGUAAUUUUACGGUACUCGAAAGGUAUUUUGAAAAGAGUGUUAUUAAAAAGCCAAAGAAAAAAGUGUUUUGUAUCUUGCAGCAAGUUUUGAGCAGUCUAAAAAUAGUUAAAAAAAGAGAUGAAAGAUAUUAUAAAUUGGUUGUAUUUGAAAAAGAUGAGCAUGUUCUGUGCCUAACAAGUUAACAGAAGAGGAUAUCACUUUCAACUUUCCCUUGAGGGAGCCGUUUGGAAAAGAAGGGAAAGAAAAAGAAGAAAGAAGAAAGAAGAGAAGAGGGAGUAAGAGGGAAGCAGAAAGGAAAAGACAAAGUAUUGAUUAAUCCCUGCAUGCCUGGAACAAGCUCUCUCCCAAAAAAUCAGAAUAAGAGAGAACAAAAGCAACAGUGGUUAGUACUUGGUAAAGUAUAAUGGAACAGAAGAAAGGUAAGCACAUAGAUUGUUUUUUUUCGUUUAAAGAAUGAAAAAGUAGAAUGAUGAGUUAAUGAAAUAUAAUUAAAGCAUAAACAAGAUUAAAAUUGUAAAGCUUACUGUUUUCCAAAGUGUAAAGCCAAUUUGCUGGUUCCUACUUUCCGCUGUUUUCGCUUAAAGUCAGAAGAGAAGCUUAUAAAACCACCCCAUUGGCUUCACGCUUUCAUUAGCUCCAAUUUCCUCAUUUUAUUACGCCAUAAAAUGCAAAACCUUUUCUAGUUUUUCUCUUUUCUUUUCUCAUACCAACCAAAAACUGCACACAAUACCAACAUAACACAACACAACACAACGCAAGUGUACUCACAUUUUUUUUUCAGGCUUAAAACACACACCCCACCACAGAGAACAAAGAAAGAGAGAGAUUAGAAAGAUCAGAAUCAGACAGGCUAGCUCCAUGUCUGACUCACAUCUAACUUUCUACUCUCCUUCUUCCAUUCUUGCUCUUCUCCCACUCUUCUUCAUCUUCUUCAUUCUUAUCAAAAGAAAGCAAACCAAACCCAGGCUCAACCUUCCCCCAGGUAACAUGGGCUGGCCAUUCCUUGGUGAAACCAUUGGCUAUUUAAAGCCUUAUUCUGCCACCACCAUAGGGGAAUUCAUGGAGAAACACAUAGCAAGGUAAAUUAAUUAGUUAACCGCCACCAAACCUUGUGUAAUCGGUCUAAAACUGAAAAGUUUGAAUGUUUUUGUAUGUAUAGUCCCAAGUUUCAAAAUCUCAUUGACCUUGUUAUGUCAACAGCAGCACACACAAAAUCCCACAGUAUAGAUAGAGAGGUGCUCUACCACUCUAAUGAACAUGCCAAUGUUUGUUUUCAGGUAUGGUACAAUCUACAAGUCCAAGCUAUUUGGGGAGCCGGCAAUAGUGUCAGCAGAUGCAGGACUCAACAGGUUCAUUCUGCAGAACGAAGGGAAACUGUUCGAAUGCAGCUAUCCGAGAAGCAUUGGCGGAAUACUCGGGAAAUGGUCCAUGUUGGUCUUAGUCGGCGACAUGCAUAGAGACAUGCGGGUUAUAUCACUCAACUUUCUGAGCCACGCCAGGCUCAGAACCCACCUCCUGAAAGAGGUGGAGAAACACACCCUCUUGGUUCUAAACUCUUGGAACCAAAAUUGCACGUUCUCAGCCCAAGAUGAAGCCAAGAAGGUACUUUUUGUUUCACCUUUAACACACACGAGUCACAUAAAAAAGUACUAAAGGGGUGUUUUCAUGUUUCUUGUCACUCUCAAUUGGCUUGUGCAAAUCGCAGUUCACCUUCAACCUGAUGGCUAAGCAUAUCAUGAGCAUGGAUCCUGGGGAAAUCGAGACAGAGCAACUAAAGAAAGAGUACGUCACUUUCAUGAAAGGGGUGGUAUCCGCGCCAUUGAAUCUACCUGGAACUGCAUACCGAAAGGCGUUAAAGGUAAUGAUAACAACAACAACAAAUUGUGUUUUAUUUUUUUCUCUAGUUUGGCAGUGGUGAAUUUUUUAAUCCUGUGAUGUUUGUCAAUGUUUCACAGUCUAGGUCCACCAUACUGAAGUUCAUAGAGGGGAAAAUGGAAGAGAGAGUGAAGAGAAUCCAAGAGGGAAACGAGAGUUUGGAGGAAGACGAUCUUCUGAACUGGGUUUUGAAGCACUCCAAUCUCUCCACGGAACAAAUUCUUGACUUGAUUCUCAGUCUGCUCUUCGCUGGCCAUGAAACUUCCUCAGUAGCCAUAGCUCUAGCCAUCUACUUUUUGCCCGGUUGUCCUCAAGCUAUGCAACAGUUAAGGGUAAGCAAGUACAACCAUGACGCCACGUCCAAUAUUUUCUUCAAACACUUUUCUCACCCUGUCCACCUUCUACCACACAAUUCACUCCAAAUUUUACUUGUGAUAAUUAGCUUCUUCUUUUUCAUUUGUGUGAAAAAAUAAACAGGAAGAGCACGGUGAAAUUGUCAGAGCCAAGAAACAAGCAGGGGAAGUCGAACUCACUUGGGACGAUUACAAAAGAAUGGAAUUCACUCACUGCGUAAGUGAAUGUUAACAGUAAUAUACAAGUCAGCAGUUAAGAAUAUUAUAUGGGAUGACGAGGUGAUACAGUAUAAUAAAGUGUUUAUUACUUACAACAGAACAGCAUUAUAUUAUAAGCAACUUUGAUAACACAAAGUGAAUAAGAAAAACACACAUUUAAGUAUAUAAAGUGGUGUACUUAUGAACUAUUUGUUACAUUUUUUGAAGGUUGUGAACGAGACACUAAGGUUGGGAAAUGUUGUGAGGUUUCUCCACAGGAAGGCUCUGAAAGAUGUUAAUUAUAAAGGUAUGUUUGGAGGGUGUGGAAAAUUUGUAUAUCUGUUUUGUAGAAAGAUGAAAAAUUGUGCUGUGAAAAAAGAAAAGGGAAAUCAAAUUGAAAAUGGUGUGUGUGUGUUUUUGAAAGGUUAUGACAUUCCAUGUGGGUGGAAAGUCCUUCCGGUGAUUGCAGCCGUGCAUCUGGAUCCUUCACUUUUUGACCAACCUCAACACUUCAAUCCAUGGAGAUGGCAGGUCAGUUCUACUUAUAACAAUGGACAGCACGCGCUGUAUAGUUAUUAUUGUGCAACCCUUUUCUUGUUUUCUUUUUAUUUAUUUUUUGUUGUUCAUCUUGUUCUUUUUUUUCUCAAAAGCCAAAGCUGGGUAUAUAAAAUAGAUAAAUUAGGAAAAGAGAAAAGGAAAUAAGCAGAGGUCCCCAAGCACUUGAAAUGGUCCUUGCGGUGGAUCCCCACAUGCAAUCAGAGCCUCACUGGCUAAUUUUAUUUUCCUGGAAGGUGUGGUGAGAACAAAAUUUAGUUGAGGUUGGGGGUGGGGAUUUUGCCCAAAACGUCACCCCGUAAUAGUUGCAUGUGGUUUUUCUAGUCGUAGCCCAAUUAGCUUCGCGAGUUAUCUUCCUUUCCAGAAGAGAAACAGGUUUUUACGUUGGGCGCUUCUGAAUCAGACCGAACAUAACGUACGCAGGUUGUACGGUUUGACAAAAUAGAUAAAGAAAAUAAUGCUUGAUGUCAUUCAUUCUAGUUGACUUCGUCCAAACUCCUAACUCCUAACUACCUAUGCCCUAUAUGCCUUCUUCAUAGCUAAUUAAUUAACACCUCAUCACCAAAGCACAUGCUUCUAAAGUUAUAUAACCUAAUCUACUCCCCCUAACAACGGUGAAGAUUGAGUGAGAUUAGUAAUUAAUUAAGAAUGGCGAAUGAUUAUGGGUGAAGAAAAAACGUAGGACAUACUAGAUAUAGAUAUAGAUGUGGUAGUUUUGUGGGUAGACAGCGUGAGGGUUAUUUUUGAGUUUAGUGAUGGUUAGGGGGGGGGGUGAGAAAUGAUUGUUGGGGAUGGCGAAUAAUGAAAAAGGAUCAAGUGGGUCCAUGCAUGCAACCAUCCAUCCAUCUCAUCUGCAUAAGUAUGAAUGAUGGUGUGGUGGUGGGUUGAGAAUUGAGAUGAUGAAGUGUCAUGAUCGGCGAAGGGGAUGUUGUGAACAGUACGGAGGUGGGUCCAUGUGGAUGCGAUGGAUGAUGAUGAGCAUGGGUGUUUUGUGAACGUGUGGCCAGGUCCUGAGGUUCCAGAUCAUUAAUGCCCAUGUGGAAAUGGGCCCCACACCUGCACGUGCAUCUCUGCUUUUUUUUUUCAAAUCAAAUACAACUCCCAAUGAUCCAUUUCAGGAUAACAAAUACAUGGUGACAUCAAUCUCAAAAUUAUUAAUACUUACUAACUCACUCAUAUGAUUAUUGAUGGUGCAGAACCAUGGCGGCAGCGGUGGUGGUGGAGGUUGUCCGAGCAACAAGAGCACGGCGGCGAACAAUAACUUUCUGGCGUUCGGCGGAGGGUCACGGCUGUGCGCGGGAUCGGAGUUAGCGAAGCUUGAAAUGGCGGUUUUCAUCCAUCAUCUGAUCAUCAACUACCACUGGGAGUUGGCCGAAACAGAUGAAGCUUUUGCCUACCCUUUUGUGGACUUCCCAAAGGGCCUACCCAUUAGAGUCCAAGCCCAAUCUUUGAUCUAAGUUCCUUAAAUUCAAAUAACUUACUUAGUUCACCCAAUAUAAAAAAGUAAAAACUAGGGAAGAGGAAGACAAAUAUUAAGUACAAUUGUACAAACACAGGGAUUAGGACCACUUCUUUCCUUUUCUUCUCUUCUCUACCCUCUACUAUAUAUUUUUACUGCCCACCCACAUUGUACAUUUUAUAUAUCCCCACCACCACUCAAUAUUUAUUCUUUUUUAUUUUUAUUUUUAUUUUCCAUGCCCACUGUUGUAAUCUACCACCUUCUUUUCUUACUACUACUUAUAUUAUUAUAAUAAUAAUAAUAAUAAUAAUUAAUAAUUUCUCUGUAAAAAUGUAUACGUUGUGUUGCUUUCCUUUACGCCAUCCCCAACAUGAACCCGUGCAGGACACAAUUAUGGAAUACGUUUCAAUCCAACGUUGUUCAUCAUUAUUGUAUCUUCUUGCAAAUUCCUCUUUUCGAAUAAUUUUUUUAAAUGAGUAGCAGAGAAAGAUACGACGCAUUAAUUCCGGGAGUUGUUUUUUUUUUUUUUAUACUUUAUAUAACUCUCUUGCAUCGGUUUGCAAUCUGGGAGGCAGAUUCAUUUGUUGUUGGGUGGGUAGUGGCUAUAAAUGUUGCAACGGGGUCUGGGACUAAUGGAAUGAAUCAUAAAGUGUAACCAAAAAUAUAAGAUGUGAAUUUGUGAGUAAAACCAUAUGCACCAAUUGCACCCUUUGACUUUGGUGUGACGUGAUUAUUAAUUGAGUAAUUGGUGAUGGCCCCACCGGAGCCUCCUCCAUUCACCACCAUUUUCUUCCUUCUUUUUUAAGUUUUUCUUCAUCAAACAGUGAAAUUGAAACACGCAGCUUAUUGGGUCUACAUCAUUUUCAUCGGAUAAUGCCAUUACGGUGCAAAAAAAAAAAGUCUUGCGAAGGCUUCACACGGAACAAGGUGUGUUUAUAUGUGAAAGGCCAAAAAUAAUAAGUUAAAAGAAAUUAGUGAGGACUCGACGAAGUAGCAGCAGCAGCAGCAAAGUGAAACACUAUAUAUGGCUCCAUGCCUUAAUCGUAAAUAGUGUUAAAUCUGAGGGCUCUUGUGAGGUUACAUUUGGCAUGUAGCGUGGUUGUUGUUAGGUUAAGUUUCGCUUUCUGGUCGCAGCGAUGUAUCUUCGUCCUCUCUUUUCAGCAGCAGUGGCCUACGGAACUGCACGUUAAUAUUACGGAUCCAAAAAUACCAAGUUUCUGAGAGUCCUAGAAAGAGUUUUGAGGCUAAAUAGUUAUGAAGGCUAAUAAGGUUUGCAAAAAUAUGGAGAGCAACGUGGAAUCAAUAAUUAUGAAAGCAAGAAAAGAACCAUUGCUUGGCUCCAAAUCAAAACAAAUAUUUGGCUCACCGACAAAUCCAACUCCUCCUGGUCCCGGGAAUCCAUAACGAAUCAAAUUAUUACAGAUACACCACUACAUAGUUUUUCACAUAUGUUAGUUGCAAGUUAGUUAUUUUCUGUUGUUGGCUGAUUAUUUUAUUGAAGAUGGAUUAUUUUCUUGUUUGUUUUUAUGAGAUGCUGUUAAUUUCUGCAAUUUUAUUUGAUUAAUUAAGAAUUGGCCUUAUCCAAAGGUAAUUCCACUAUUCACACCACCAAGGUAUAUGUAUAUGUAGCUCUAAAUAGUUGGUACAUACAAAAUUGAGUUUUGAUUAACUUAUUUUAGAGUUUAAAUUGUGUAUUUAAUGAAUUUUUGGAAAACAAAAAAAAAAUUGCAGGAAAAUACUUCUCCCUGAACAUGCAGGGAAAUCACUUGAUAACAAAUUUCUCUUUCUUUUUCUCGAGUAAUCAAAAUAAGUAAAACAUGGAAGUGAGUUUUUUAUAGGCCCAAACCCGUUAAAACAUUGGAUCCAGUCCAUUUCAUUUUCAUGUCCCGUUUUGACAUUUGAAAAAACAAAUAUUUGAAUUCUGUUGAGACUGUUUCUUCCUGCACCUCUAUAUCUUCUUCCGCCACCUCAAUACACAACAUGAAAAUACAUUUUUAUCCUUCUUGUAUCAUUCCAUAGAAUAGUUUCCGGAUUAUAUAGAUUAUAUAAUCUGAAAACUCAUUUGAAAAAAGACUUCCGGAUUACAUAAUCUGGAAGCUAAAUAAGACUUCCGGAUAAGUAGUUAUGUAUCUAAAAAAGGACUUCCAGAUUAUGUAAUCCGGAAACUUAUUACAAAUUUAAAAAAUGAUUUCCAGAUUAUGUAAUCCAAAAUUUUACAAGGGCAUUUUUUUGAAAAUGUUUAGUUGUUGGAUUCCAAAAUGAUACAAUUGGAAAGUGGAUUGGGUACAUUAUUUCCAUUUUGCUUACCUCACAAAAAUACCAUGUUUCAUGCCAAAGUGGGCAAGUUGUUAAUUACAACUUAAAAAACAUUUUGGAAAACUUAAAAUAAUAUAAAAGAAAAGUGUUUUUUUUUGGAGAUGGUAUUGAAGUUACUUGGUCAUGAAUAAAUUGAGGUGAUGAGCUAUCAAGCGUGUGAUUAAUUAGUGCUUAUAACUUUUCUCUAUGUUCCCUCCCAAGUGAAUUAUUUAUUUCAUAAGAUUUAAGUUUACCAUCUACAACUUUUGAUUGGUGGUUUAGCUUCACCCUGAAAAUUAACUGUAUUUUUUAUUACUAAGCCAGUAAUAAAAACAGGCUAUGUAUUUAUAAACACUAAGCUCAUAUAUAUAUAUAUAUAUAUAUAUAUAUAUAUAUUANNNNNNNNNNNNNNNNNNNNNNNNNNNNNNNNNNNNNNNNNNNNNNNNNNNNNNNNNNNNNNNNNNNNNNNNNNNNNNNNNNNNNNNNNNNNNNNNNNNNAAAAAAUCUGGAAACAUAUUUUGGAAAAGGGAAUCUGAAAUGUAUUUUUAUAUGUAUUCCAUUUUUUAAGGGCAUUUUCGUCUUUUCAUUGGAAUUGGGUGUAGUGAUAUGGUGCAGAAAGUAAUUGCCUAAAAAGGAAAUCUUACUUUUUUUUAUUGGGUUUGGGCCUAUAUCCCUGAACAGACUGUUUCUUCCUGCACCUCCAUACCUUCUUCUCUUACCUCCAUAAAUUUUUGAAUUUUCAAAAAUGUCUCUCUAUAAUAUUCUGGAUUACAUAAUCUGGAAGUCAUUUUUCAAAUUUAUAAUUAGCUUCCGAAUUAUGUAAUCCGGAAGUCUUUUUUGAAAUGCAUGAUUACUUUCCAGAUUCUAUAAUCUGGAAGUCUUAUUUAACUUAUAGGUUAUGUAAUCCGUAAGUCUUUUUUCAAAUGUGUUCCGGAUUACAUAAUCCAGAAACUAGUUUAUGGGGAUGAGAAAAAAGAAUAAAAAUAUAUUUUCAUGAUGUGUAUGGAUGUGGCAGAAGAAGAUAUGGAGGUGCAUGAAGAAACAGUCCUCUCUGAACAUUAUUCUGGAUACCAUAACAUUCGAAAAUUGUGUUUUUCAUUCUGCACUCUCAUAAAAUCCAAUUGCACCCCCAUAAAAACUGAAACUCCACUUUUACCCUUUUAAAAUUGUAUUUUCGAACGUAUAAAAAAAAAUACACAAUAAAUACUUAGCUCUUCAACAGUGCACAAUGAUCAAUGUACUUCCAACUGUUUUUCUCACUCACGAACCGAUAUUAUAAAAUUUGGAAGGGAAGCAAGUAGGGGUGCAAUGAAAGGUAUAAAAAAGGUGGGAGAAGAAAAAAAAAGUUUAGAGAAAAUAAUUAGAAGGUAAACUAAAUAUAAAUAUAAAUAAGGAUAAUAAUGUGAUGUUAAUUGUAAGACUUAUAAAAUUAGGUUAAAUAAUUUUUUUAACAAGCGAACUUCUGUGUAGAUUAUUUAAUAUGUGUUUGAUAUUUGAAGUUACACAAAAUUCAAAUAAACAUCCGAUUAAGAACUCGUGCAUUUGUGAACUAGGUUUAAAAUUAACAGAUGAAAAACAUUCAAUCCAUCUUAUAAAAUAAUUUAAAUUAUUAAAUGUUUUUUGUACAGAUUAGAUAAUUUUUUUAAUAUUCAUGUUAAUUACUUUUGACUGGAAAACGUUAGCAUUUAUCAUAAAAUUUAAUUGUUAUAUAAUUAUCCGCAAAAACGGCAUUUCCACAAACUACCAUUUUACCUAUGCAAUACACAUAAUAAAUAUUUGUUUUUUAUAACUUAAAAUAAUGAUAAAUUAGUAUUUUUAAAUAUAUUAAUUAAAUUUUAUGUUACGAUGAACAAAUUUAUUAUGAUAUAUUUUUUAAUUAUUGAUCAUUUCAAAUAAUUAAAAAUAAAAAUACCUAAAGAAAAAAAGUUUAAUGAAAUCUCCCAACCUAUUUAUAAUACAAGAUGCAGCGUUGGUAGUAAAAUUGUAGUAUAAUGUGUAAUUACCACUUAAUAAAAGCUAAUUAAAUAUCUCCAAUAUAGUGUAUGCCCCACGUGUUCGCUAUUGAAACGUUGUUCACUUUCCCUUUGUGACGGCGUGAGAAGCGAAAACAGAGAAAAGAAGAGAAAGGGUGGGAGGCACACGCACGAAAACAGAGUCGGAAUCUCCAGUAUUCAAUCGGAGACAACACCAACUCAGCCGAAAGAAGCAGAGUUCGCGGCGGAAAUGUGGCGGUGCAUCGCACGGGGACUUCGUGGAGCUGCUUCCACCACCAGAUCCACCUCCAAUCAUCCUCACGGAUCUUACCCUUCUAGAUUCUUCUCCGUAUGAGACUCUCUCUUUCUUACCGAUCUUACCAUUUCCGUUUAUUCUUUUAACCCGCGCACACUCAAUUACUUCGCCUGUUCUUUUACUUUAAUGUAUUUCCUUUCAUUUUGGCCUUCUGUAUCUCUUAAAUUGGAUCUUUUGCAUGCGGAUGGUGUUUCACGGAAGCUGAAUCCUUUUUGUGUGCUGUGCAGAGUGGGGUUAACAACUCGUACACUGUGGUGGAUCAUACUUAUGAUGCUGUUGUCGUAGGUGCUGGUGGCGCGGGAUUGAGAGCUGCUAUUGGACUUUCAGAACAUGGGUUCAAGACUGCUUGUAUCACCAAGCUCUUCCCCACUCGUUCACACACGGUUGCAGCUCAGGUAUGAGGGCUUUGCUAACACCUUUUUCGCUUGUUUAUUAGUUAUAUUGGUAUUGUGGCUAUUUGUUCUGCUUUGUGUUUUCGCUAUUGGGUCGUUUGACUGUUAUACUGUAGUGUAACUAGUAUCCAUGUGUAAAGGUUCUCCCAUUGAAGUUUAUUUAUGAAAAAAAAAUGAAUCUAUUGGCUGAUGAAUUAAACUACUUGAAAGUGACUCUAGCUUCCUUUGGUUGUGAUAUCAAUUUUAUGUAUGUCUCGUGAUGUAACUUGUAAGUGUCCCCUAACUACAGUAUUGGGUCACUUUGAUACUGUUACCGCUUCCCUUCUCCAUAAUUCAUUCUUCAUUUGCUUAAUUUCAUUUUCUAUUCAUUACAAUUUAAACUUGGCAAUAUAAUAUAUUGUUUAGUGCGUAUCAAUGAUGGAUGAUGAUUUAACCAUUCCUUUGCAAUUUGUGUGCUUUUAGAGAAUCAUUUUCAGAUUGUCCCCCUGGCACCUUGUUCUUGUGUGCUUGUACAGUUAGUUACAAAUCAUGACAUAACAAGUAUUGGGUGAUGCACCAAAGUAUAUUUUGUUGAAACUAUCAUAUCAACUCUCCCCCUCCCCUGAAUAUGCUGGCAACACUAAUUCGUGAGAAUAAAUAUAGGGUGGUAUAAAUGCUGCUUUGGGAAACAUGACUGAAGAUGACUGGAGGUGGCACAUGUAUGACACUGUCAAGGGAAGUGAUUGGCUAGGUAUAAACUAUCUCGAUCUUUGAAAUUUUACAUCUCCUGUGUGCCAAAAAAAAUUAUGAGUUCGUUGCCAUAAAAAUAUCCUUGCUUGUAGAAAUUCAUUUGCCUUAAAAUCAGUCUAACUCUAAUGAAUAAGAUGAUACCUGUGUCUGUUUCCCUAAAUGUGAAAACAAAAUCGUCAAUUUUCUAUCUAAUAGUAUGAUUUCCCUCUUGUUUCUUAAUUAAUGCAAGCUCUAUGGCCUACAGGUGAUCAGGAUGCCAUCCAGUAUAUGUGUAGGGAAGCACCAAAAGCAGUCAUCGAGCUUGAGAACUAUGGUUUACCAUUUUCCCGAACAGAGGAUGGAAAAAUAUACCAGCGUGCAUUUGGUGGUCAAAGCUUGAACUAUGGAAAAGGUAUUUCCAGAAUUUUGUGUAGAUUUUCAGCCCUUUUUUAGAAGAGAUUUGAUAUUGGUAUCCUUCUGUUUCUAUGAUACAGGUGGUCAAGCUUACCGAUGUGCAUGUGCUGCUGAUCGAACUGGGCAUGCUUUAUUGCACACUCUCUAUGGUCAAGCUAUGAGACAUAAUACCCAGUUUUUUGUGGAAUAUUUUGCAUUGGAUCUUUUAAUGAAUAAUGAUGGUAAGUUUUUGUAAAAUCAACUUUCUUUCACUUAAUAUCUGCAACCAAUUAUUCUAACAAGGGCUUAGCAUUCAUGGGCCUUGAUGAGCAAAUUUCCCAUGUACUUCACAUUACUUGUUUACUGACCGUAAUUUGUUAUCUAUUUUAAUUCUAAUUGUUUUAUCAAACUAGUAUGGUGGGGGAGAAUUUGUAUGUUUUGAUUGAUGAUAAAGUUAACUAAUUUCUAUGUUGGAUAUGUAGGCACUUGCCAGGGAGUAAUUGCCAUGAAUAUGGAGGAUGGAACACUGCAUCGUUUCCAAUCUGCUUCAACAAUUUUGGCUACAGGGGUAACAUAGCCUUCUUAUGUUGGACAGUAUAUAUUUUUUAUUUUAUUUCACUUAUGAAGGAUAGGUGAGAUCUUUUAUCAUGCUUCAGGGUUAUGGUAGAGCAUACUUUUCUGCAACCUCAGCACACACAUGUACCGGAGAUGGCAAUGCCAUGGUUGCACGUGCUGGUAUCCCUCUUGAGGUGUGUUUUUCUUUUUGGUUGCUUUUCCGUAUUAAUUUGAUGUCUUUUUGGGAUUAAUCUUUUCUCAUUCGCACGCAUUUCAUAAAUUCUGCAGGAUUUGGAGUUUGUACAAUUUCACCCAACGGGUAUAUACGGAGCUGGUUGCCUUAUAACAGAAGGUCUGCAGUUAAAGUUUUAUUUGCUACAUGUCAUGCCUUUGUUUUCACUUUACAAGCACCUUGUCCAAUGAAAUUGGAAUGCUGUGUUUUUUUCAUUUUCUGAUUUUAAUUUUUGGAUCUUUUAGGCUCUCGUGGUGAAGGUGGAAUUCUCAGGAACAGUGAGGGUGAGCGAUUUAUGGAACGAUAUGCCCCUACUGCAAAGGAUCUUGCAUCAAGAGAUGUAGUUUCAAGAUCAAUGACUAUGGAGAUUCGGGAAGGUCGUGGUGUAGGUACGUUGGCUUAUACUGAAAUAUCCAUGUCUUCAUAAAAAAGUUUAUAUUAACAUACAUGAAGUUUGAUUGCUAUUACUUUGUAGGCUUCAGGAAAAUGAGUGUUAAAGAUGUAUAACUUUUAGGUCAAAUUCUGACUUAUAUUUUAUUUUUAAUUCCUACAAAUGAAUGAAUCAUCUGAGUUGGAUGAAAAUCGUGUCCUCUCUAUUCAUUAUGUUGGAAAUUGGAAAAUAUUCAUUUAUAUUUGGACAAUUUGAUGUUUUUUUUUUUAAGUACGCUUGUAUUAACUUUUGGAAAUUAUUUUUAGGACCCCUGAAAGAUCACAUCUAUCUUCACUUGAAUCACUUACCCCCAGAUGUGCUCAAGGAGAGACUUCCUGGAAUCUCUGAAACUGCUGCUAUUUUUGCUGGUGUGGAUGUUACAAAGGAACCCAUUCCUGUUUUGCCAACUGUACAUUAUAACAUGGGCGGUAUUCCCACAAACCAUUAUGGAGAGGUAUAGUCAUGCAUGCCGUUUGAAAUGAGACUUCCAAUUGAAAGAUUAAGAAAAUAUACAAAGUUAUGAAAUAGAGAAGAAAAAUCUGGGAUAAUUGAUCAUGCUAUAAUUGUUGAAUUUAAAGGGAGGGGAAGAGAGAUGUUCUGCCAUAACCGAAGCACUGUACAAUCAGUCGAUUUCACUUGAGCAAUCCCGCCCCAUCUCCCUAAUCUCUUAGACUCUAAGUAGUCUCAGGGGACUAUUUCCCGGGCAUAGAGUAAAUGGGUGCUACGCCGUAAGACCUAAUUCCAGUGAAAAUGCAUUUAACGUGUGAAGAUUGAAUCCUUUUAACAUUCAAAACAUGAACUGCACCUCUUUCUAACAUUGUUUACUUCUAUUGAUUGUUUGAUAAAUUAGUGCUCUAUGCUUACUUUUCUCCAAUCCACAUUCUUUUGUCCUUCAUUCAGCUCUUCUCUUACACAAUAGUUUAAUAGAAGCUUGUGCAUCACAAGUAAUAUUUGUUUGCUUUUCGUUUUUGACAACAAAAAUAUUAACAUUGUCAUUUCAUUUUGAGCUGUAUCUAAUUAAUGCUAUUUGUGAUUCAGGUGGUUACCAUUAAAGGUGACAAUCCAGAUGCAGUGAUUCCUGGAUUGAUGGCUGCCGGGGAAACAGCCUGUGCAUCAGUCCAUGGUGCCAAUAGGCUUGGUGCAAAUUCACUUCUGGAUAUUGUUGUUUUUGGUAGAGCUUGUGCAAAUAGAGUUGCAGAAAUCCAUAGACCAGGCAAGAUUAUUUUCCUAUUUGGAAAUAGACCGUGUGCACUGAAAUUAGUAUUAUAAAAGUGUCUGUCAUCCAUUUUGCAGGAGAGAAACAAAAGCCUUUAGAGAAAGAUGCUGGUCAGAAAACAAUUGCAUGGCUGGACAAAUUGAGAAAUUCAAAUGGUUCAUUGCCAACUUCAAAAAUUCGGUUGAAUAUGCAAAGAGUGAUGCAAAGCAAUGCGGCUGUGUUCCGUACACAAGAAACAUUAGAAGAAGGUAAUCCACUUCUUGUUAUGCAUAUUUAUCCUCCUGUCAAAUCCUUUCCCCCCUAACAAGGUGUGUUUAAUUCUUGCUAAUUCCUCAACUAUCUCCUUAUUCUGAACUUAUCUGCUGCGUUGCAGGUUGUCAAUUAAUUGAUAAAACGUGGGAGAGCUUCCAAGAUGUUAAGGUCAAGGACCGCAGUCUAAUAUGGUAAUUCCAUUUUAGCAAAUGAUGAAUAGUCCUAAUAUUUCAUGGAUGUUCAUUUUCUAAGUUUAUUGGCUAUAUAUUCACAGGAACUCCGACUUGAUUGAGACUAUUGAGUUGGAAAAUCUUUUGAUAAAUGCUUGCAUCACAAUGUACUCUGCUGAAGCUAGGAAAGAGAGUAGAGGAGCUCAUGCCCGUGAAGACUUCAAGGUCAGUUUUCUAUCACUCAUGCAAAUUUCAUACCAUCAACAUGAAUAGUGCACUUAACUAUAUAAUGUUGGAUUCUGCAGGUUAGAGAUGAUGAGAAAUGGAUGAAACACACUGUGGGGUAAGUCAUGUUUCAUACAGUUUAUUUGGUUUUCUAUUUACAAAAGCAGAAACUUGAGUAGUAAAGUUGGAGUUGAUUUUGUUUAUUUCCAUCGGGAACCUUGAUCCUUUUAGGUAAUUUGAAUUGAUGGAAAGGAAUGGGAGUGGGUAUGAAAUGGAAGUGUAAUAUUUGUUCCUAUGCUUCGUUUGUAGAGAUAGGAAUGAAAUGACCACUCUUCCAUUUCUAUUUUGUUUUUCAUUGGUGUGAUUUAACCAGAGUAGGUGCUAAAUGCCUAAAAACACAAAUUUGAGACUGAUCAAGUGGAUCAAAUGGGUUGUGCUAUAUUUUGUUGGUGAAAUUGAAUCAUCAUUCCGUCAUUUUUAUGUAAUAACUAUUCUUAAAACUGUAAGAACUCCCUUAGAAGCUUGGUGCAAGUUGCAACUGCAAUCGUGCAGCUAAAAAUGGUAAUGGGGUAGAUCUAUUAAAGUGGUCCUCAACCGAGCAUGUUCUUUCUGUCUUUGAACCUUUUGUUUCGUAAGAACUGGAGUGCUCUCAACUCUCGUACAUCGUUGGACCAUCCAAGUCACUCAUUAAGUUAACAAACUUGUGACUGGGAUGAUAUUGUCAUUAUCUCGUGUUUGUAUUCCCUCGAAUUCACCCUUGGCUCCUUGCUUGAAGUUCUUCAGUAACAUUGUAGUUUUUAUCAGUGCGGUCUUAGUAAUCACCCUUAAAUUUUCAAGUGGUGAGAUGAAACCCGAAUUGAUCAUGCUCCAUUUUUGGUUGGCAAAUUAACUGCUAUUGUCUCUGAUAGUGAUGUUUUACUCAAUUACAGUUAAUUUAGAGAAGUAAGAAUUUGGUAUUUUGCAACGGAUUAGAGAAGGUGGAAAUCUUAGGGCAAUCAUUUGGUGUGAGGGAGAUAUUUUGGUUAUAUUACUGAAUCCUAAUUCUGACCAUAAGCAUGAUAUUUGUCAAGAAACCAACUAUUUUAAGUUAAGAAUGGAGGUCUGAGAUGAUCAACACCCUAUCAUGUCCUUUCAAGUAAGAGCUAUGUCAGGUUGAAAUACAGAUCAAAAGGAUCAAUAUUUUCACCAUGACCAUCAAGGGUUGAUUAAUCGAUUCAAUAUCAAUUAACCAGCUAUUCUAAAAGAUUAAAUGGGUGGAGUCGGCUAACGUGGUGCUGCUUUUGAUUAAGUUGUACUAUUUAUAAUUAUUCAAUUGAGGAGUAAACACUUGUGUCAUUAAAUUUCAUGUUAGCUAAAUGUGCAUUUAUUUGCAGAUACUGGGAGAACGAGAAGGUCCGGUUGGACUACAGGCCAGUGCAUUUGAAUACAUUGGAUGAUGAGGUUGAAUCAUUCCCUCCCAAGGCUCGUGUCUAUUAAUACCUUGCUAUCUGUCGUCUCAAUAUUAAAUGACAGAAAAAAAAUGCAAUAAAUGUUAUUUUUGAUGAUAAUUGUUGCAUUCAUCAUCAAUGUUGAUUCAUAUUCCUGGCAUUCUCAAAUAACACUGUAUUUGCAGCAAAGAAUAAUAGCAAUACAAUUCUAUUUAACUGCUUGUAUUUUUUACAAGUUUUUGCGAAUUUACUAUAUACCAAAUUCGCGUCUCCACGUUUAUAAUUUUCUAAGUUUCGUGUUUAUUCAUAAUUUUCUAAUUUUGGUGUUUAUGCAUACUUUUCCAAGUUUCGUGUUUAUUCAAAGCUUGUUUAUCCAAAACACCGCUGGAUAGAAAAGGACUUUUAAGUUCAUUCGAACAUGUUGGCAGUCUCCUAUUUGUUACAGCUGUUAUGCACAACUGUUCUGAGCCCAAAAAAGUUGCUUCUCCUCAAGUUGUUUGAAUCAAUUUGGAGCCAUAUCCGUGAACCAAAAAUUCUGAGGCGUAUAAUCACAUUUAGACUUUCUUCCUUCACACCCAUACAAAAUGUAAAAAAUAUCUUUUUAUCUUUUCUUUGUGCCACCUUAUACAGUAGUUUUGAAAAAGGUGCAGGAAGAACAGUCUUCUCUGGGUUCAUUAAUGUAGUACACAGAAAUUGAAGAAAUCGUGUAAAGUUCAAGUCAAAUAUUUGUAAUUUUCAAUGUAAACGGAAAAAAAGAAGAAGCAAGAGUACUUUUAAACUCUUCAAUCUAACAUUUAAAUAUGCAGUGAGAUGGAGAUAAGGAGCGUUGGUAACGCUGGAUGUCUCUGUUCUUAUGACAUUUAGAUAAAAUAUGAUCAAACUCCGUUCCAGAAAGAACGACCAAAUGAAAAAGAGUAGACUUGUGACUAUAGAUUACUGGGGGCAAAUUUGAUAUAGUCUCAUACAUCUCUCUCUACAUAUAUUAUACACCUUACGUAUAUUACCUCCAUUAUUAAAUCCAAUAAAUUAUUAAUUUUUUUUCUCUCAUUUUAUUGAGUAAUUUUAAAUUUUUCAUCAAUUUUCUUCUUCCUUUCCAAAUAAAAACAGUCACUCUCAAUCUUUCACUUGCCCCCUCUAAUUCACUCAAUUAAUGGAACGAAGAAAACAUAAUUUUAAAAUAUUAAAACUAAAAUUAUAUUUUUUAAAUAUUAAAACUAAUCCAAUCUUAUUAUAAAAGAACACAAAUUUAAGACAAUUAUAUAUAUAUAUAUAAGAUAUCAAAUACAUUAUGUUAUGAAUUUUAACAACUGUAAAAUCAUAUAACAACUGUAAAUUUUAACUUCAUAAUAUCAUUAAUUAUCCAUAUCAAAUUUAUUAAAAAUAAUUAAAUAACUUUUUAUUAAAAUAAUUAAACAGCUUUCAUAUAUUUUAAAAUAUAUAUUACACCCAUUUUAAUUGAGAUAUUAAAUAAUUUUAAGACAAUCUAUAUGAGAAUUUUUUUAAAAGUCUCUCUCUUUAACUAACACACACAUAUAACUUCACUCAAACGUCAUCUUAUAGUAUAUUAAUCUCAAGAUAAUCCUUGAAUUGAUCAAAAUUUAAAUUUAUAAUCACACUGAAUUUCAGAUUUAAUUAAUUUCUUUAAUUCUUGAGAUAUAUCAAUGCUCCCAUGCGUGCACCACAAAGAUAACAACAAUGUGUAAUGCAGUACAUAAUACAAUAGUCUAUUUUUUUUCCAAGUUAAAAUCCAAAAAGAGCAGAAAAAAAUAAAAAUCAACAACAACGUUAUCAUAACAUGUUACAAGGAUUGCAGAUAAACAAAAACAUGUUACAAGGAUAAACACCUCUCCUCAGGGAUAACCUAAUUAAGCGUUGGCACUGGACUGAUGCCUCGCUUUUUCCUUCUCCUUCACCUCACUUCCCUGCGUCUUGUCAUAAGCUUCAUGCACGUACAUACCAAACAAAAGAAGCCAAUAAUUAAGAAUAACAAACACAAUAAGCAAUUUUAUAUACACGUUGUGUGUGAUAAGGAAAUUAAACCUGGGUGAUUUUCAUGUAUGAUCUUAUCCUUCUCAGUAUUAGGCAUGGAUUGCUUUCCACCAUAAAUUCCACCGAACCCUUCUUCAUCAGACCUCGUAGCGUACCCUUCCCCAAACGAAUGAGACAUCGCAUCUCUUCACAACAUUCAUCAGAAUCAAGAAUUAAUCCAAUGAUUAUCUUUCACAUGGUUACUUUAAAGAUCAUUAGUUAUUAUAAAAUGUGACCCUUUAUCAGAUUACUAUAAAUGUGUUAUAGAAUCAAACAUGGUUAUGAAUGAAAUUGAGACAUGCUGUUUGAACUCACCCAUGUUUAGUUUCCUCGCUAGGUUUAUGACUCUUGUCCAUCUUAUGAGCACCACUGUUACUAUCAGGUUUGGUGCAGAAUCUAACUGCUGAAGCUUCCCGACAAAGCUUGGAAGAGAGAGAGCGUGAGAGUGAAACGUGUUGAUAGGUUAAAACCGUUUUGAUCGAGUGAAGCAUAGCUUUUUCUAUUUUGAUGGGUUGUGGAAGAGAGACAGUGUGGUAGUCCUAUGAUUUCGAACAAUGCAAAUCCUAUUAAUCCUCCGGUGCACUUGUUCUGGUUCAGAGAAACUAAAACAUGAAGCACUUUCAUGACAUGACAUGUGGUGUGUGUUGGACGCUUGUCUUUCACACAAACCCUCACGUGUCACGUUUAUCCUUUUGCAUGCAAAGAAUAUUUCAGUUCAGCUUUGAUUUGAAGACCUGUGUCGUGUAACAACUGAACAAAACGCCACGUCCACCUGUGUGAAGGAUAUAUAAUAUUCUAUUCUAAAUUGCUCUUUCUUUCUUUGUUGCAAAGAGUUCAAAUUCAUCCCUUCAUGUAUUUGUUUGCAAUUAUAGAAUAAGAUAUCGAUGGUUCACCUUGACUGGACCAAGACAUGUUGCAGAUGACCUGAUUCUGAGUUCGCUUUUAUCUUCUCAGACAAGAUAUUAAAGAAUUUAGUUAGAAGAGUUGGGUAAAAUGUUAAAAAGAAAAGAAAAAUGGAAACUUCCACCAAUAUACCUAGAUAGAUAAAUUUUAAUACCAAUACCUAGAUAAAUAAAUUUUAAUACCUCGGAUUUACUUAUUGAAAAAAAAAUUGUUUAAUAUUUUUAAAUAUUUUAUAAUAUAUAAGUGGAUGUAAAUUUUAUUUUUUAUAAUUUAUUUUUAUAAGAUUAAAUUUAAUUUAAAUUUUAAUAUAAUACUAUCAAGAAAAUCAUGAAAUAAAAAUUAAUUUUUAGAGACAAUAAUUAGUUGCAAUAGUAACUAAAUUAUAUACUAUUUUAGAAACUAAAAAAAAAUUGGUUUCUAAAUUAGCUUCUAUUGUUGUUAAAUAGUUUCUAAAUUGGUAUCUAAUUAGCAAUGAAUGUUUUUCUACCAAACCUAGAAACUAAAUAAUUGAUUUCUAAUUAGAUAUCAAUUUAUAAACUUUUUAACAGUUAUAUAAAUUAAUUUAAAAACUAUUUUUAUAUGUUAUUAAAUCAUCUAUAAUAUACAUUGAUUUUUUUUAGUGUAUAGUUAUUUAUUUUUAAAAAAUUAUUAAAUUUAUUAAUUUAUAUAUUAUUAGAUCAUUUAUAAUAUAUAUUUUUAUGAUAAGUUAAAGAUAUUUGAUAGUAUAUACCUAGAUUAAAUCUUAAUAUAAUCCAAUUUUAUAAAAUUAAAUUAGAUUUAAUAUUUGCAUUUUAGUAAUAAUUUAACAUUCAAAUUCGUAUUUUAAAUAAAUUAUCUUGUUUAAAUGAUGCUUUGAAAACUAAUUAAUGCGCAUAUACGUUUAUUUUAAUAAAAUCAAGUAUGUUCUUAUUUUUUUCUUAUAUAUUUUAUUAAAAAGUUAUAAACUUUACUUCUAUUUGAAUGAAGAAAUAUAGUACUGCAAAAAAAGGAAAGGACUAAAAUCUCCAAAAUCUCCAAGAUUUAAGGAAAUUAGGACCUUUGAAAACCUUGAAAAUGUUGCAUAGGAACGAAUAUGGCACAAAGGGCCACUGAGGGUUAAAGACCCUACACCCUACACGGGUUGUCGGAAACCUAUGGAAUAAAAUAUAUUUCUCUUUAUAUAGAAUAAUACCUAAUGAUCCAUUUAUAAUUUGAAUUUUAUUUUGUCUUUAAAAAUGUUUAAAUGGAUUGUGAGAAAAAGGUGUGUAUAUAUAUAAUUUUUUAUUUUGAUUUCUAACUAUGUGGGACUUUUAAAUGUAUUAAAAGACUUAUAACACUUCCACACUUAUGUUUUGUGAGUGACAACUCUAAUAGUUCAACCGUAAUUCAUGUUAUUGUUUUUCAUUUAUUAACUAGGAUGAACAUACUAAACAAAAGUAAAAACAAUGUCUGAGCAUGACACUUAAUGAAGGAGGUGAAUAUGACUUUAACAAAAUGAAAAUAAAUAACUUAUUAAUGAAAUUAGAUUUUAGAAAAAUAUUAUUACUUUUUUUAAAAUAUUCAUAUAUUUCAAGGUCAACAUUAAUUUUCUCCAAACAAAGUAAUAUAAAACAUUUUCUAAUAUUUUAUUAAUUUACUCUUUUGAUUAUUUUUAUAUUAUCAAAUUCCUACAUCAUUUAGGUAUUGAUGUGAAAGACUACUUACAUAUACAUUCACCCCUUAACUCACUCAAACACUUUUUUUUAGAAAACAAAAAUAUUUGUAUGUAACUACCAAACUUAUAGUUUAUGUAACUAACACACCUCUCAUCUUACUCACUUUUAUGCUAGAUACGAAUAAUUCAGCUUCUGUAUGUAUUGUUGUUACAUUAAAGUACAUAUAUCAAUUUAAACCUCAAUCAAUGUGUGCAUUUACACUAAUGGGUGAACGGGAAAAAUAAUUGGACGGUAGCAUAUUUAUAACAUUCUUUCAACUUAAUAGUCUUUGACAUAAAAAUAUGAAUUGAUUUUAACAUCUUAAUUAAAUUAAAUAAACUUGGAUGUAAGUAUUUUAAAUUAACUAAUAUAUGAUUAAACUUGUCGAUCACUCCACAAUAUUAUUUCAACUUCAAUUACCUAAAUAAAUUAUAAAUAUAAAAAAAUUACUUAAAUACUUAACUUCACAUCCAAAAAAAUUACAUUUGUCUUAGUUAACUAAGAAAAUAUAACAUUUUUUUCAUAUUGGUUCACCUAAAUCUGAGCUACAUCCAGUCUCCUUAAUCCAACGACUUAGGAACCGUCUAGCCAUACCGUAUAAUCAACUCAAGAUAGAAUAAAAAACAAAGCAAAGCUAUUAGAAGGAACAACAAGAAAUUAUCCUGAUUCACCCAAACUCGGAUUAUAUCUAGUGCUCUUAAGACAAUCAUUUAAGAGCUUCAUUAACUAACACACUUUGUUAUAACGAGUAUUUUCACUUCUCCAUAUUACAAUGAAUAUUCACAUUUCUUUAGGUUACAACGAGUAUUAACACAUCUAUGAGUUAUAUCUUCUUAACCCUGAUAUUAAGAACUUUCAAGAAAAUAAAUAUCAUUCUAAAAAAAAGUACAAAGAAAACUCACAACGGUACAAUUUCACAAUGUGAAAAAUUACAAUAAUUUAACACUCAAUCCAAAAUACAAUACUAUCUACUAAAUUAGAGGUUCACUCUAACUCUUAUAUUUUAUGCUUGCAAGAUAACUUCUGUAGCUUUUGUUGCUUUCCUUACCUUUGUUCUUCACCUUCACUCCCUUUAUAUAACUUUCAAAUCUUCAUAUAUGUAUGAAUAAUUAAAUUUCAUCAUCAUUUUAAUAUAUAUAUAUAUAUAUAUAUAUAUAAAUAUUUAAUUUUAAUAUUACAAUACAUGUUUUUUUAUUUGUUUUUCAAUCAUAACAUAAUCAUUCAUUUUUCAAGUGGAAUUUAAACAUAUUUUUUUUUAAAAGUACAAAACAUAUUAAUAAUAUUUAAUAUAAACAUUUUUUAUAAUUUGUUCUCACUCAGAUCAAUCCAAUCUACUAAGUUUUCAUUAAAAUUUACUUACUUAAGUUCAAUCUAAUAAUAUUGUUUUUUCACUCUCUACCCUCAUCUAUUUCCCUUUUCAAAUCCAAUCCAAACACAAUAUUAGAUUUUUUUUUUAUAAAACAUGCACGAGGAUUUAGUAAUAUAAUAAAAUGUGACAUUUAUUUACACUUAAUAAGAUGGAAAAUUUUCAAUGAAAAUCCCAUCGUCUCAAGUAUAUCAGUGUGCAUGUUUUGGAAACUAGAGAGUUUUUAAAUAGUUUAUUUACUUAUAUCAUUGGGCACAUUGAAUAGGCUUUGGAAAAUCCUUUACAAUAUAGAGAUUAUUAUGUUUAAGGUUUUUCUUGUUCUUUACACAUCUACCACGAGCAUGAUAUCAAAUUUAUAUAAUGCUUGCAAAUACAUUAGUUUUACAAAUUCAGUAAUACACAAUUUAUGAAGUAAAUUAGUUUAAAUUUGUUUCAAAUCUUUACGGUCUUUAAAAAUAAUUAUUUGUUUUAAAUGCCCAAUCUUUUAUAUUUUUAGAACUAUUAGUUAUUAUUCAAAUAUAAUAUAAGAAAAUCAUUGUUUUUCCUAAUUUUCCACAAAUUAAAACUAAUAUAAAAUAAUUAUAAUUAAUUUAACGAGAACAUGUAAAAUAUCAAUGAAAAAAUCUUAACUUUUUAAAGUGCAUAAUCUAAUUUAAUUAAACAUUUAAUAUUUUUAUAAAAAUAAUCACAUACAACUUAUUUUUAUUGGAUUUAAAUAAAUUUCACGUGAUUACUUUUAUACAUUUUAUAUAAAUUUUCACAAUUAAUCUAGUUGACUUUUAUAUUUAUCUUUUGAUUUAUUAGUUUAUUUUUCAUUAUGAUAAGGAAUAAGUUUUCUUUCAUUAUAUAUAUAUAUAUUAAUAUUUUUGUCAAUAUAAAUAAUAAAAAGGCUUAAUACAUAUUAUUACUCAAUAUUCUAAAUUGUUUCAACUUAACUGAUAAAACUAACAUCAAUAAUAGCACACAUUCAAACUAAAAUAUUGAAUUUAUUACGUAUUGAUUAUGAAAAAAAUAUUUAUUAAACACUCAAAAUUAAAUUAAAUUGUAUUCCCUCCAUUUCUUUCAAAUUUUCUUUAAGGCUAUUUAAAAAUAAAAACCAAAUUUUUUUGGUGACUUUAAUAAAAUAUUUAUAAUUUCUAUUUCAUAUUACGUGCAUAUAUAUAUAUAUAAACUAACUAAAAAUACACCAAUGAUAAGAAUAUAAAUAAUAAAAUAAUAAUUAAUGUUGAUUUAAAAAUUUAAACUAAAAUUUUUAAAAAAUAUUUUCGAAAGAUAAUAUUUAAAAUAAAAUAAAAUAAAAAAGCUAAAAACUUAUUUAAGUUUAAUUCUUAGACAAAUAAAAACAUUGUUGACCAGGUCAGUCAACAAAAUAGCAUUUAUUAUUUAAUUUAUUUAGGAACGUAGGAAUAACGCAAUCUGAUGAGACGUAAGGACCACGCGAACUUGGAAAGUUGGAAGCCAGCGCGUGGUUGCCGUCCAUGUGGAUUAAACACCAAACCGCCAUCAUUCUAGUCUCAUUUACCAAAAUACCCCUCUAUUAUUGUAAAGAGACAGAUAACAAACAGCUUUGCCCCACCGAUAAAUGAGCCGCACCUAACAUUACACGUCACUGAAUCCUCACCGUCAAUACAAACAAUCUCAACCGUCGGAUCCCUAAAAUCCCAUUAUAAAAGAAAGCUUAGGGUUCUCUUCCUUCUCUCAUUCAGCGCCUCCUCUUCUCUGCCUUAUCUUCAACAACUUUUCUGCCAUACCUCUUCUCUGUAAAUUCAGAUCUAUUAUUUCCUUUUCCUCUGAAGCUUCUUUCGUGACUGGAUCUGAAUGGAUCUGAUCGAGAUCUACACGCCCGUGGUGGUUUUGGCCUGGUACGGUCACCCUUACGUCGGGAUUUUGCUGCGAUUAGGUUCGGUCUUAUGUUAUUAGCGUCUUGAUUUUGUUAUUUUCAAUUUAUAUUGUCGGCCUUUCAUAGAUCCGAUGCCUGGAGGCUUAGAUCUACGUAUAGAGGUGUGCGCAUCGUGUCCAUCUUCCUUGCUUCGUAGAAAGUUCUUUGGUCUUUGUAUAUGCCAAGCCUCUUGAGGUGUUUUUUGCAGGUGUGUGAGAGAAUCCACGGGAAGAAAGCUGAUCCAACUAUAGAACGAUGGAUCCGUCAGUUGAUGCUCUUUUGACCGUUGUGGAUGGAUGUUUGUGUCGGAUAAUUUGGAUUAUUCCAGAAGCGGUGUUGCUUUCUAGGGCUCCAUGUGUUGCUGAUCUCAGAUGUAAAAUUUUGUAUGAUGUGAAGCUUUGAGGUGGAAAAUAUGUGGAUGUAGGAGAUAUCGGGAUGAAUGACCUUUAAACGCUGAGUCGUUUAGGGUCGAGAAUCCUGAGUGAUCUUGUCAUCCGACCUUUGCCAUGUCAGGUGCGCUUGCUUGGCAGGUCAAAUAAUUGUUAAUAAAAAAAAGUUUUGUUGGUUUUGGGAGAGAUGGCACGGGAGUUGCCCGGGGUCUCUCCCUCGUGUGGUGUGUGCUCUGCUCUCUUUCGUUAUGCCUUUUAUUAUUACCUUUCUGUCGCUCCACUCCGUUAUACAUCUCUGCACCAGAGGGAUUCAACAGAGGAUUCGCUCCAACUAUAAGGUAUUAUCCAUUAAUUUACGCUCGAAAGGGUUUAGGUGUUUCAUUUCACAUAAUUGAAGAUAAAACAACAACCUCAUAUUUGUUUUUUAAAAUAACAGAAUCGAUUUGCAGCAGAACUAAGAAUUUGUCUCAUUUUCCGAUUAAUUUGAUUUAAUAUUUGAUUUAAGAAGUUGGUAAUGUGAAGAAUAUCAAUCUGAACUUUUUGGUAAUCUUAUAGGCAGAAGAAGCUAGGUGGAGUUCAUCAGUAGUUUCAUUCUUUAAAGGUAAAAUCGGGAACUGGUUUUUAGUGGUAUUUUAAUUAUGAAUUACUUAUUCAGUUAGUCAUUAAGCUAGUUUUUUAUGAAACAAUACGAUAAUACUCAGAAACUACUAUUAUCGAUCCAUGGCAUAAUAAUCAAAUUCCUCCUUUUUACAUGUGUCUUGUCUAAUAAUAUUUUGCCUGAAUAAAAUAUCGAAUCAAUACUUUUUACAUGUGGCAAAAUAAUUAGUUUUAUUCUUUAUUGAAAUAUCGUUCCAUGGCAACCAAUAAGUUUUCUUGCUUAAUUAAAAUAGCGAUCCAUGGUAUAAUAAUCUGUUAUCGUUGUGUUUAUGUUUAUCAUAUUUUGUAUUUCACUUGAGGUUGAUACAUCCGGUGACGUCUCCUUAUAAAGAUUGAUCACUGUAUUGCCGGUUUUGUACCAUAUACUUGUAAAUUUGAUUACCUGUAAUUAGUUCAGCUACGGCAGGCAACGUUUGUAAUGCAGAAAUAGGUUAUUUUUCAAAAGCGUAUAAUGUCAGGAUUGCAGCAUUGUUAUGCUUUGCCAAUGGGAUCUUAUGUCGACAUUGAAGUAUCAACAAUUAUUAGAAGAUGGGCUUCUGCCGGGGCCGGGCAUUACACAUGAGAGAAGAAGGCCUCUGUGAUGAAGUAUCGUGUGGAUUGUGGAGGACUCUGAUUUAGGCUUCUAUUUCUAAGGUGAAGAAAAUUUCGGCUCUAUACACGCAAAGUAUAUUUUUCUUCCAAGUUAAUUCAGUUUGCAUUUGUUUAAAUUGAGUAACGAUGUUUUUACUGAAUCCCCUCAUUCAUUUACCUUAAAUUCAAUGUCAUUAUCAGAUGUUCAUUUAUAGUCAGUUAUGGUUGGAUCAGUUUGUUAUAUAUAUUUGGUAAUUCAUGUUUUGAGCAUAAGGAACUGCUCAGAAUUUCAAGUUUACGAAAGUUAUUUGAAUACGAAUAAUUGUACGGGUUUUCUGUUGAUAAUAUUGUUCAUUAGUAUGUAUUCAUAAUGUUCUCUUUGUAGAUAAAAGUUAUUCUGAUGUUGCGUUGCACUUGGUUUGUUAUUAUGUGAUAGUGGUUGUAUUUUGAGCUUAUAUGCCUUUAACCUCGAAGAUCAAAGUCAGCAAUGGCCAUUGAACUUUUAGUUUCUGCCUCUCAUCUUUAUUAACUAUUUAGUUUAUGUCAAAAUAGUUUAUCAAAAUUUUUGUACUCUUUUUUUCUGGGGAACUAUUGUUAUUUAUGCAGGUUUUAUUUUGAAUCCUAUUAUUUUUAUUAUUUUAUAGCUUGUUAUGUAGUGGGAUGAAUUUUUGUCCCAGUUACGAUCGUAGCAUUAUUUUUUUUUUUCUUUAUAAUAUAUUAUUAUCAUGAUUUAGUAGUAGAAACAAAUAUGUCGACCUCUAUAAAGGAUAUAAAGGAUAUCGACCUGUUAAUAAAUCAUAUUUAAUACAUUUAAAGAACUGGAACAAUGAAAUGAUAAACUACAUUUGCUGCUUAAAGGCAAGCAGUCACACCCUUAGAUUUGCAUAUGGUUAAAGUAGUUUUUAUUAUUUUAAUUAAUAAUGCAGUUUUAAGGAAAUGUAAAGGAUAAAAUUAGUAUGAAAAGUGGAGAAAUUUCUUUGAAAUAUGUAUUAAAAAGGUAGAAUUUUUUCAGUAGAUAAGUGUGGAAUUUUUUUUGAAAUAUGUAUUAAAAAGGUAGAAUUUUCUCACUAGAUAAGAUGCUUUUUAUAAUCCGUGAAAGCAUUUGAGUAAACCUGUUUCAAGGCAUUCUGAAAAUAAUGAAAAUUAUUUUUGGUUGUUGUGCAUGUUGUUCUUCAUCGUAAAUAUGGUGUUUUUUUUAUCACUAGUAUAGUUAGUUUAUUGAAUGAUAGAUCUGUAAGCUCAAAACGGAAGAGCGAUCAGAGCAUAUCAGUUAUGUUCUGGUAGGAUGGUGGUUCGAAUCCACCCUGAUCUGCAUAUUCUGUAUUG